GGCGGCGUAGCUCAGUUGGUUAGAGCGAGGGUCUCAUAAUCCCUAGGUCCGGCGUUCGAGUCGCCGCGCCGCCACCA
This 77-nucleotide transfer RNA is filed under the name Terriglobia bacterium. RNAcentral describes it as "Solibacteres bacterium tRNA-Met". It matches the Rfam family "tRNA". From Rfam's summary of the family: Transfer RNA (tRNA) molecules are approximately 80 nucleotides in length. Their secondary structure includes four short double-helical elements and three loops (D, anti-codon, and T loops). Lineage: Bacteria; Pseudomonadati; Acidobacteriota; Terriglobia. RNAcentral also lists the same sequence under 1 other name. The record is from RNAcentral.